RNAcentral lists this ribosomal RNA (1138 nucleotides) under Leifsonia shinshuensis. RNAcentral describes it as "bacterial SSU rRNA". It matches the Rfam family "Bacterial small subunit ribosomal RNA", at positions 48 to 1196 of the family's 1533-position model. The record is from RNAcentral. Lineage: Bacteria; Bacillati; Actinomycetota; Actinomycetes; Micrococcales; Microbacteriaceae.
UUAACACAUGCAAGUCGAACGAUGAACCUGGAGCUUGCUCCGGGGGAUUAGUGGCGAACGGGUGAGUAACACGUGAGUAACCUGCCCUUGACUCUGGGAUAACCUCCGGAAACGGAAGCUAAUACCGGAUACGACGUGCGGAGGCAUCUCCUGCACGUGGAAAGAACUUCGGUCAAGGAUGGACUCGCGGCCUAUCAGGUAGUUGGUGAGGUAACGGCUCACCAAGCCUACGACGGGUAGCCGGCCUGAGAGGGUGACCGGCCACACUGGGACUGAGACACGGCCCAGACUCCUACGGGAGGCAGCAGUGGGGAAUAUUGCACAAUGGGCGCAAGCCUGAUGCAGCAACGCCGCGUGAGGGAUGACGGCCUUCGGGUUGUAAACCUCUUUUAGUAGGGAAGAAGCGAAAGUGACGGUACCUGCAGAAAAAGCACCGGCUAACUACGUGCCAGCAGCCGCGGUAAUACGUAGGGUGCGAGCGUUGUCCGGAAUUAUUGGGCGUAAAGAGCUCGUAGGCGGUCUGUCGCGUCUGCUGUGAAAACCCGAGGCUCAACCUCGGGCCUGCAGUGGGUACGGGCAGACUAGAGUGCGGUAGGGGAGAAUGGAAUUCCUGGUGUAGCGGUGGAAUGCGCAGAUAUCAGGAGGAACACCGAUGGCGAAGGCAGUUCUCUGGGCCGUAACUGACGCUGAGGAGCGAAAGCGUGGGGAGCGAACAGGAUUAGAUACCCUGGUAGUCCACGCCGUAAACGUUGGGCGCUAGAUGUGGGGACCAUUCCACGGUUUCCGUGUCGCAGCUAACGCAUUAAGCGCCCCGCCUGGGGAGUACGGCCGCAAGGCUAAAACUCAAAGGAAUUGACGGGGGCCCGCACAAGCGGCGGAGCAUGCGGAUUAAUUCGAUGCAACGCGAAGAACCUUACCAAGGCUUGACAUACACGAGAACGGGCCAGAAAUGGUCAACUCUUUGGACACUCGUGAACAGGUGGUGCAUGGUUGUCGUCAGCUCGUGUCGUGAGAUGUUGGGUUAAGUCCCGCAACGAGCGCAACCCUCGUUCUAUGUUGCCAGCGCGUAAUGGCGGGAACUCAUAGGAGACUGCCGGGGUCAACUCGGAGGAAGGUGGGGAUGACGUCAAAUCAUCAU